Molecule: long non-coding RNA, 6488 nt
Organism: Gallus gallus (chicken)
Lineage: Eukaryota; Metazoa; Chordata; Aves; Galliformes; Phasianidae
Exons: 3
Source: RefSeq, a predicted model, not a curated record
CAUUGCUGACUUGAGCUUCUCUUUUUGUUUGCUGUGUGUUUUGCCUCCUGCUCAUUAUGUCUCUCCAUACAGAUGUGCCCUUAGCCACCCACUCUGAUGUAUUGUCUUGCAGCUGAGCUGGGAAAUUGUGUCAUUGACGAGGAAUAGGAAUUGUGUUGGACUGGAUAUAGACACAUAGCUCUGAAAGUAAUGCCUCCUAUUUAUUUCCAUGGAAAGUACAACUCUUAAAUGGCACACAAUAAUCCUGCUUGAUGGAGUGGAAUUAUAGUUACGGAAUUCGAUUUUUCAUCGUAAUCCCCAUUGUACCUCUGCAUUUUACGGGCUGUGAACCAAAGCCUUCAUGUUGCACUCAUAUUAAUCUUUGACAGAGGAGGUGGCCCUCUGUAGCCACUGCUGAAAUACAUCUUUUUGUCCUCCAUAUACAUUCAGCAAGCGUUAGUGAAUGUCAGUGGAUGCAAUUCUUUGUGCAUGGAGGAGCGCAGCGAUGCACUUCCAUGUGAGAUGCCGUUUGGUCAGACUGCCCCUCUAUUGCCAUCCACCACAUGGUACCAAAACACAGUGGGAUAUUGGUGGGAACGUUCAGCCUCUGCUUUGUACCGCCAGCGUUGGCCUUGGACAGCAUGGGCCACCACAAUAAAUAGGGAGGCAUUACUUUCAGAGCAGCACUGAUGGAAUUCAUGGAAUUGUAAUUACGUACAUAAUAAAACAUUUGAAUUGUCAAUAUUUCUGGUAAAUCUUUCUAAAAAGGGGGAACAAAAACAUGAAACCAGUGGGAUAUUUGACCUUUUCUUUUUGGUGACAGCAGUGCAUCAGGCCGGUUUGGCCGCAGUGUCUGGAAUUCUUAGGGGAGUCUCAACAUCUUCAUUGGAGAUUUUGGAUGAAAUGUUACUCCUGUUGAACUUCAUCCCUGAAAACAGUUAUCCACAAAGUUACAUACUACCAAAAAAGCCAUGCCGUGAGUGAAGGCUGAUGAUGAAGUGAGAGAUGUUUCUCUCUGGUAAGAUAGGGACUGUUGAAGUCUUCACCAGCCAGGGCUCUAGCUGCAUGGCCCAAGCUGCAGAAAGCAAAGGUAAGAACUGGGAGAAGGAGGAUCUGCCUGCUGUCAGUGAAGAUCACAUUUGUGACCAUCUAAAGAACCUGCAAGUGCACAAGUGCGUGGGACCCAAUGAGAUCCACCCACGGCAUAUGAGGCAGACACAAUUGCCAAACUGCUAUCCAUCAUAUUUGAAAGGUCAUGGUAGACUGGUAAAGAUUCCACCAAUUGGAAAAGGGGAGACAUAAUCCCCAUUUCACUAAAGGGGGAAAAAGAAAUAUUACCGACCUAAAGGCCACUCAGUCUCACCUCUGUGCCUGGCAAGAACAUGGGGCAGAUCGUACUGAUGGCCGUACUGAGGCACGUGGAAAAUAAGGAGGAGGUGAUUGGUGGAAACCGACAUGGCUUCACCAAGGGCAAGUCAUGCCUGACAAACUUGGUGGCCUUGUAUGAUGCAGUUACAGCAUCAGUGGAUAAAUGAAGAGCAACUUAUGUAAUCUACCUGGACUUGUGCAAAGGAUUGGACACAGCCCUGCAUGACAUCUCAUCGCCAAAUUGGAGACUAAAUGCUUUUGUUGGACAAACAACUGGCUGGACAAGGAAUUAGCUGGAUGGUCACACUCAGUGAUCUGUGGUCAGUGGCUCCCUGUGCAGUGGAGACCGGUGAUGGGUAGCAUUGCUCAGGGACUGGUUCUGAGACCAGUGCUACUUAAGUGUUUGUGGGUGACCUGGAUGGCUGGAUUGUGUGCACGCUCAGCAGGUUUGCCGGCGAUGCAAGCUGAGUGGAGCAGUUGACAUGCUAGAGGAAAGGGAUGCCAUCCAGAGGGAUGUGGACAGGCUUGAGAGGCAGUCCCGUGCCAACCUCAUGAAGUUCAACCAUGACAUAGGUGAAGUUGCGCAGCUGUGUCGGGACAAUCCCUAGAUCAUAUAUAGGCAGGACAGAGAGAACAGCUUGAGAGCAGCUUGAACCCUGAGAGAAUGUUCUGGGGGUGUUGCCUUGAUGAAAGACUCAACCUGAGCAACAAUGUGCUCUUGCAGCCCAGAAGGCCGAAUUUAUCCUGGGUUGCCUUGUGAAAAGUGUGCCUAGAUUGUUGAGAGUGGUGAUUCUGCUCCUCUACUUGCACUCUUUAGACCCCACCUGGAGUUCUGUGCCCAGCUGUCGUACCUGCUACACAAGAAGUGCAAGGAGCUGUUGGAGCAGGUCUGGAGGAGGGCCACAGAGAUGAUGAGAGGGUUGGAGCACCGCUUCUAUGAGGACAGGCUGAGAGAGCUGGGGGACUUCGGCCUGGAAAAGGGGAGAACCUUAUAGUGGCUUUCCAGUACCUGAAGGGGCCUACAGGAAAUUUGGAAAGAGAGUUUUAUUAGUGCUGUGGUUUGCUGUGUGUGGAGCCCUUCGUUUCCAAGUGCUACAGGCACUGCAUUCUUCCUUUGCUGAGCUGUGCUUCUUAUGGUGUUUGCUGUGCGUUUUGCCUCCUGCUCAUUAUGUCUCUCCAUACAGCUGUGCUCUGAUCCACCCACUCUGAUGCAUUCUCUUGCAGCUGAGCUGGGAAAUUGGGUCUUUGCUGAGUCCAGCAACCAGCACUACAGCUGCUCGCAUGGUGUUGUGACACACCAUAACUCAUGGGUGUCCAACCUUCUGGCUUGCCUGGGCUGCAUUGUGUUAGUCGGAAUUGUCUUGGUUUGCAUGUAGGUACAUUGCUUGGAAAGUAAUGCCUCCUCUUUAUUUCCAUGGAAACUGGAACCGACACAAGGAACACAAUAGCGCUGUUGGAUAGUGCUGAUUCCCAGUUAGAAAAUGCUGUUUUUUCAACAUAGUCAUCAUCAUAGCUAUGCGUAUUCACUGGCAGUGAUCCUGAGCCUGGACGUUGCUGUCAUGAUCAUCUGCACCAGUGAAGCUGACCAUCUGUUGCUACUGCUGAAACACACCACUCACCACCUCAGGGUGCUCACCUCCACUGCCUGAUCUCCAUAAUCAUUCUGCAAGUGUUGACGAAUGUCCGUGAUUGAACUUUUUCUGCAUGGAGUUUUUCAUUGACAAUCAGAGCUUGUUAAAAUCUUCCAUGUCAGAUCUUAUUUUGUCAAUCUGCCCCUCUGCUGCCAUCUGCCAAACGGUAACAAAAGGUAAUGGGAUAUUGGUGGGAUGGUUCAACCUCUUCUGUCAUUCCACCAAAGUACACCUUGCAUAUCGUGGGACACCGCAAUAAAAUGGGAAGCAUUACUUUCCAAGCUGCCCUCAUUGAGUAUACAGCAUCAUUAUUAUGAAAGUACUAAAACAUUUGCAUUUUAAAAAUAUUUCUUAAAACUUAUAUAAAAGAGGAACAGAAACAUGAAAGGAGUGUGACAUUUUCCUGGUGAGAACAAUGCAUCAGGCUGGUUUGGUGGUACCAGAUGCAAUUCUUACUGACGACUCAGUGUCCUCUUCAGAGUAUUCUGAUGAAAAGUUUCUCCACCUGUACUUCAUCCUUGAUAACAGAUAUUCACAAAUGUACAUACAACAAAGAAACAAAGACAUGAGUAAAGGCUGAUGGUGAAGUGAGAGAUAUUUCUCUCUGGUAAGAUAGGGACUGUUGAAGUCUUCACCAGCCAGGGCUCUAGCUGCAUGGCCCAAGCUGCAGAAAGCAAAGGUAAGAACUGGGAGAAGGAGGAUCUGCCUGCUGUCAGUGAAGAUCACAUUUGUGACCAUCUAAAGAACCUGCAGGUGCACAAGUGCAUGGGACCCGAUGAGCUCCGUGCACGAGUUCUGUGGCAGAUGAAGUUGACAGGCUACUAUCCAUCAUAUUUGAAAGGUCAUGGCAGCCUGGUGAAGUUCCCACUGUAUGGAAAAGAAGAAACAUAACCCCCAUUUUCAAGAAAGAUAAAAAAGAUCCAGAAAACUGACAGCCAGUCAGUCUUACCAGUGUGCCUGACAGGACUAUGAAGCCUGAAGGCCUCCUGAAGGCUUCCUGAAGGCCCUACUGAAGAACAUGGAAAAUAAGGAGAUGGUGACUGGUGGUAACCGCCAUGGCUUCACCAAGGGCAAGUCAUGCCUGGCAAGCUUGGUGGCCAAGUUACAGCAUCAGUGGAUAAAGGAAGAGCGGGUGGUUUAAUCUACUUGGACUUAUGCAAAGGUUUGGGCACAGUCCCGCAUGACAUCUGGUUGCUACAUAGGAGAAAAAUUGUUUUUGAUGGAGAAACUACUUGCUGGAUAACAAAUUAGAUGGAUGGUAACAGUGAAUGAUCUGUGGUCAACGACUCCAUGUCCAGUGGAGACCAGUGAUGUGUGGCAUUCCUCAGGGACUUUUUUCUGGGACCGGUGCUAUUUAAGUGUUUGUGGGUGACAUGGAUGGUUGGACUGAGUGCACCCUCAGCAGGUUUGCAGUUGAUGCAAGCUGAGUGGUGCCGUUGACAUGCUAGAGGUAAGAGAUGCCAUCCAGAGGGACACGCUCAGUCUUGAGAGGCAGUCCUGUGCCAACCUCAUGAAGUUCAACCAAGACACGUGCAGCAUUGUGCACCUGGGUCAGGGCAAUCCCUAGCUCAAAUGCAGGCUGGUCAGAGAAUGGCUUGAGAGCAGCCCUGAGGAGAAGGACUUCAAGGUGUUGGUUGAUGAAAGACUCUACAUGGGCAGCAGUGUGCUUUUGUGGUCCAGAAGGCAGAAGUUAUCUAGGGUUGCCUCAAGAGAAGCACGACAAACCGUUCAAUGGAAGUGAUUCUUCCCCUCUACUCUGUCCUCUUGAGACCCCACCUGAGUACUGCAUGCAGUUUUGAGGCCUACCAUGUAAGAAGGACAUGGAUCUGUUGGAGUAGGUUCAGAGGAGCACCACAAGGAUGAUGAAAGGGCUGGAGCAUCUCCCCUGUGUGGACAGGCUGAGAGUGCUGGGGCUCUACAGCCUGGAGAAGAAAGGACUCUGGGGGUACCUUAUAGUGGACUUCCAGUACAUGAAGAGGCACACGGGAAAGUUGGGGAGGGAUUUUUAAAAGGACAUGUACUGACAGGAUGAGGGAAAAUGGCUUUGAAGUCAUAGAGAGUAGGUUUAGACUAGGUAUGAAGAAGAAAAUCUUUACUGUAGGGGUGGUGAGAAACUGGAAGAAGUUACCAGGAGGUGUGGAUGACCCCACCCUGAAAGCGUCCUAGGCCAGACUGGAUGGGGCUGUGAGCAAUCUGGUCUGGUGGGUUGUGGCCCUACUUCAGCAGAGGAGUUGGAUUCAGAGGAUCUUGAAGGUCCCUUCCAACCCAAACCAUUCUAGGAUUCUCGGAAAAUUGGGUAAAGGCAUGUGGUAAGAUCUUUGAGUUGGAUAUAUGGUUGCAACUCCAGAUGUUCCCUUUGAAAGUUAUUUGCUAAUGUAUGUAUAUGAACAGAAAAUGAAGAUGUAGGCAUAAAUUCAUGAUUUUUAUUUCAAUCUUGAAUCCUAUUUCCAAAUUCCAUUUUCAGAAGUGAAAGCAUAAUUGCGUACUCUUUGUUGCUCAGAGCUGUGUGUUACGCAAGAGCAGUAAAAUGCAUGCAGUUUCUUCCUCUCUUUUUCCAUAUUCCUGUUUGCUCCGUUUUCCUACUGACACAUCUAUUCAUUUACAUGUACUGCCACCCCACAGAGGAUAAGGGAAGGUUGGGAAGACCUUUGUGCCUGGCAAGAUCAUGGGGCGGAACAUCAUGAAGGCCGUACUGAGGCUCCUGGAAAAUAAGGAGGAGGUGAUUGGUGGUAACCGACAUGGCUUCACCAAGGGCAAGUCCUGCGUGACAAACUUGGUGGGUUUUUUUGAUGAAGUUACAGCAUCAGUGGAUGAAUGAAGAGCAACUGAAGUCAUCUACCUGGACUUGUGAAAGGUUUGAUAUGGUUUCCCAUGACAUCUGGUCACCAAAUUGGAGAAAAAUUGCUGUGAUGGACAGACCACCCUGUGCUUAUGGAAUUGGCUGGAUGGUCACGCUCAGAGUGUUGUAGUCAAUACCCUGGUGUCUGGGUGAAGACCGUGGAUGUGUGUCUUUCCUCAGGGAUCAGUGCUGAGAUUGGUAUUAUUUAACAUCUUUGUAGGUGUCAUGGAGCAUGGAAUUGAGUGCACCCUCAGCAAGUUUGCAGAUGACACCGAGCUGAGUGGAGCAAUUGACAUGCUAGAGGGAAGGGAUGCCAUCCAGAGGAACCUGGUCAGGCUUAAGAAGUGGUCCCACGCCAACCUCAUGAAGUUCAACCAAGGCAAGUGUGAGGUCCUGCGUUGGGUUCCAGGCAAUCCCUAGAACACGUCCAGGUUGGGAGAGAGUGGCUUGAAAGCAACCCUGUGGAGAAAGAUUUGGGGGUGUCAGUUGGUGAAAGACUCUACAUGGGCAGCAGUGUGCCAGAAGGUCAAAGUUAUCCUGGGUUUCAUCAAGAGAAGCAUGACCAGCACGCUGAGAGAGGUGAUUCUGCCCUUCUAUUCUGUCCUUGUGAGACCCCACCUGGAGCACUGUGUCCAGUUCUGGUGCCUGCAACACAAAAAGGACGUGGAGCU